CAGCUAAAAGGAAAAAAAUUGGUGCUAGCAGAGCAUGUGAGGAAUGUAGAAGAGCUGAGAACUAAUGGCAAUAGUUAUUUAUUGAGCCACCAUCAUUCGUCAAACAUCGGUGACCUCGACACCCUAUAAAACAAGUUUAAACAUCGAUCAUGCUAGGGUUGUCACAGGAGUAAAAUGCAGCUGCGUUUAUAACCAGAGCAGCAAGUGCAAACAUGUUGCUGCUUUAAUAUGUUGCAUUAACAACAAAGUUAGUAAUUUAAAAACGAGCAUCGAACAUCAAUGGGGAGAACCCAUUAUUCGUCAAUUUGGAGCUUGUAAAUAUUCCAAAGGGAGCUAUUUUCAAGAUAUGUUUGGAUCAGUAUCUAAGACUGACUAUUGUGAACCACAAUCUAUAUUACGUCAAAUAUCUCCAAUUUAUGCUAACUUCUUAUGUUUGGAUGUGUUGCAGUAAUGAUACUGAUAAGAAAGUGUUAAUUUAAUAUUAUAAUGAUAAAAAUAUAAGUGCAGAACUUUAUAAAAUAAAAAACAGUUAUGUUUUUCGACAGUUGAAUUUUAUUUACCUUUUACAACAGUAUUACUCUUGGAAAAGAUUGGAGGCUGUAAAUUAACUAAAACACAACAUACAUGUACAAUAUCAUCAAUAAAAUUGAAUAAAUUAACA
Ostrinia furnacalis (Asian corn borer) is the source of this 661-nucleotide long non-coding RNA. RefSeq lists it as uncharacterized. The record is from RefSeq and is a predicted model, not a curated record. The transcript has 2 exons. NCBI's taxonomy places the organism in Eukaryota, Metazoa, Arthropoda, Insecta, Lepidoptera, Crambidae.